Molecule: ribosomal RNA, 468 nt
Filed under: uncultured bacterium
Lineage: Bacteria
Description: partial 16S ribosomal RNA
Rfam family: Bacterial small subunit ribosomal RNA
Source: RNAcentral
GACGAACGCUGGCGGCGUGCUUAACACAUGCAAGUCGAACGGAAAGGCCCUGCUUUUGUGGGGUGCUCGAGUUGCGAACGGGUGAGUAACACGUGAGUAACCUGCCCUUGACUUUGGGAUAACUUCAGGAAACUGGGGCUAAUACCGGAUAGGAGCUCCUGCUGCAGGGUGGGGGUGGGAAGGUUUAGGCGGUUGGGGCUGGACUCGCGGCUUAUCAGCUCGUUGGUUGGGUAGUGGCUUGCCAAGGCUUGGACGGGUGGCCGGCCUGCGAGGGUGACAGGCCACAUCGAGACUGCGAUACGGCGCAGACGCGUACAGGUGGGAACGGUGGGGAAGAUUGUACAAUGGGAGGGAGCCUGAUGCGGCGGCGCCGUGUGGGGUAUGACGGCCUUCCGGUAGUGAACCGCAUCCGCCUGUGACGAAGCGUGAGUGACGGUAAUGGGAGAAGAAGCACCGGCUAACUACGUG